This is an RNA transcript of Phascolarctos cinereus (koala), 1811 nucleotides long. It is a transcript of the gene named glutathione S-transferase kappa 1, with no coding region annotated. Lineage: Eukaryota; Metazoa; Chordata; Mammalia; Diprotodontia; Phascolarctidae. The record is from RefSeq and is a predicted model, not a curated record.
UGAGCACCCUCCCCCUCUCCCGACCACUACAGCUCUGCUGGGGCGGAUCCCGCCCAGAGCCUAUUGAGUUUAAGGAGAAACAGAAAGCACCUUUCAAAAAAAACAAAAACAAAAACAGAAUCUGUCUCAGCUGCAGCACAGCAGUCCCGCUUCUCCCCAGGACCGAGACCAUGACGAGCUUGCCUAGGAAGCUGGAGUUGUUCUACGAUGUGCUCUCCCCAUAUUCCUGGCUGGGCUUUGAGGUCCUGUGUCGAUAUCAGAACAUCUGGAACAUCAACCUUCAUCUGCGCCCAAGCUUAAUCGCAGGGAUCAUGAAGAGCAGUGGGAACAAACCACCUGCUUUGCUACCCCAAAAGGGCAAAUACAUGUUCAUGGACCUCCAGCACCUAAGGAAGUUUUACCAGGUUCCUCUCCAGGCACCCAAGGAUUUCCGCUCUGUCAUAUUAGAAAAAGGGAGCCUGACUGCCAUGCGAUUCCUUACUGCUGUCAACCUGGAGAACCCUGAGAUGUUAGAGAGAGUGUCUCGAGAGUUGUGGAUGCGUGUCUGGUCACGAGAUGAAGAUAUCACUGAACCCCAGAGCAUCCUGGCUGCUGCAGAGAAAGCAGGACUUUCUAAAGAACAGGCUAAGAGUCUACUGGAAAAGUGUUCAACUGACAAAGUGAAGAACAGUCUAAAAGAGACGACAGAAGCAGCCUGCAAUUAUGGGGCCUUUGGGCUUCCCAUCAUAGUGGUCCAUUUGGAUAACCAAUUCCACAUGCUCUUUGGCUCUGACAGGAUUGAACUGCUGGCCCACCUGCUAGCUAAAGGGUUCAGUGGAUGUAGUUCUACAUUCAGGUCUACUAGUGGUGUGAUCCUGGAGUUACAAGGAUCAGAACCUAAUGUGCUGUAUAAAUAUGAGCUACUAUUCUUGGUGUGAGAGCAAGAGAAAGCUUCAUCUAAAGUGGUGAAAGUGAAGCUUGAAGUUAUCGUUGAAGGAUGAAAAGAUGUGAAGGAAGCUUGCCAUGGGUGCAGAGAAUGGCCUACAUAAAUGCACAGUGGUGACAAAGGACACGAUGAGAGGAGGAAAUAAUGAAAACUUCUAAAAAUAACUUAUGGCAUAUGUAUAAUCAUCACCAUGAGGGGACCUAUGAGGCCAGAAGCUGCUUGAGCCAAGCAACAUUUGUUCUUGCUAAGAAGAGAGACUUAGAAGCCAAGGACAAUCAUUUAGGAAUGGCUGAUGUAUGUGGAUAGAUAGAGAUAUAAAUACACAUAUAUGUACAUAUAUAACAUGUAUAUAUUUGUAUAUGUGUGUAUACACAUAUACAUACAUGUACAUAGACACAUAAAAACACAUACACAUAUACAUGUAAUAGGAUAUUACUGUGCCAAAAGAAACUACAAGGAGAAAGAAUUAAGAGAACACAGGAAGAUUUCUAGGAAAUGAUACAAGGUAAAGUGAGCAGAACCAGGAAAACAAUAUACAUUAUAUAAAUGGAGAGAUUGUAAAAAAAAAAAACCUAACUAGUGGGUAACAAGAUUAACCAAGUUUAGCCCCCCAAAAGAAAUGAAAGAUGUACUUUUCUCCUCUUUUCACAGAGAUGAGAUACUACAGGUACGGAAUAUUGUACAUAUUGUCAGAUUCGGUCAAUGUAUUGGUGACCUUUGUGGAAGUGCUUUAUUACUCUUUUUAUUUUUAUUUUAAUUCUUUGUUAAAAGGUGAUCAAAAAAAAUCAAUAAUUUUUUUUUCAAAAUAAUGAUCCAUUGAUUACCCUAUCCCACAUUACCUUAUUUAGGUAAGAACACUUCCUGAUUAAAUCAGAUUAAAUCAGAA